This 379-nucleotide ribosomal RNA is filed under the name uncultured eukaryote. RNAcentral's name for it is "partial 18S ribosomal RNA". It matches the Rfam family "Eukaryotic small subunit ribosomal RNA", at positions 592 to 976 of the family's 1831-position model. The record is from RNAcentral.
CAAUAGCGUAUAUUUAAGUUGUUGCAGUUAAAAAGCUCGUAGUUGGAUUUCGGAUGGGACUUGCCGGUCCGUCGUUUCGAUGUGCACUGGCCAGUCCUAUCUUGUUGUCGGGGACUAGCUCCUGGGCUUCACUGUCCGGGACUAGGAGCUGACGAGGUUACUUUGAGUAAAUUAGAGUGUUCAAAGCAAGCCUACGCUCUGAAUACAUUAGCAUGGAAUAACACGAUAGGACUCUGGCUUAUCUUGUUGGUCUGUGAGACCAGAGUAAUGAUUAAGAGGGACAGUCGGGGGCAUUCGUAUUUCAUUGUCAGAGGUGAAAUUCUUGGAUUUAUGAAAGACGAACUUCUGCGAAAGCAUUUGUCAAGGAUGUUUGCAUUAA